GACGAACCGUGCGAACGUUGUUCGGAAUCACUGGGCUUAAAGGGCGCGUAGGCGGCUUGCCAAGUCAGUGGUGAAAUCCUGCAGCUUAACUGCAGAAGUGCCUCUGAUACUGGCGAGCUAGAGGGAGGUAGGGGUAUGUGGAACUUCUGGUGGAGCGGUGAAAUGCGUUGUUAUCAGAAGGAACGCCGGUGGCGAAAGCGACGUACUGGACCUCUUCUGACGCUGAGGCGCGAAAGCUAGGGGAGCAAACGGG
This 253-nucleotide ribosomal RNA is filed under the name uncultured bacterium. Its description in RNAcentral is "partial 16S ribosomal RNA". It matches the Rfam family "Bacterial small subunit ribosomal RNA", at positions 524 to 776 of the family's 1533-position model. The record is from RNAcentral.